This 253-nucleotide ribosomal RNA is filed under the name uncultured bacterium. RNAcentral's name for it is "partial 16S ribosomal RNA". It matches the Rfam family "Bacterial small subunit ribosomal RNA", at positions 524 to 776 of the family's 1533-position model. The record is from RNAcentral.
UACAGGGGGUGCAAACGUUGCUCGGAAUUAUUGGGCGUAAAGCGUGCGUAGGCGGCUACUUAUGUCGGAUGUGAAAGCCCUCGGCUCAACUGAGGAAGUGCACCCGAAACUGAGUGGCUGGAGUACGAAAGAGGGUCGCGGAAUUCCCGGUGUAGAGGUGAAAUUCGUAGAUAUCGGGAGGAACACCGGUGGCGAAGGCGGCGACCUGGGUCGAUACUGACGCUGAGGCGCGAAAGCGUGGGGAGCAAACAGG